UGCAGUCGAGGGGUAACGGGGUGCUUGCACCGCCGACGACCGGCGCACGGGUGCGUAACGCGUAUGCAACCUACCUUUUACAGGGGGAUAGCCCAGAGAAAUUUGGAUUAAUAUCCCAUAGUAUUAUUGGAUGGCAUCAUUUAAUAAUUAAAGAUUUAUCGGUAAAAGAUGGGCAUGCGUUCUAUUAGCUAGAUGGUGUGGUAACGGCAUACCAUGGCAACGAUAGAUAGGGGUCCUGAGAGGGAGAUCCCCCACACUGGUACUGAGACACGGACCAGACUCCUACGGGAGGCAGCAGUGAGGAAUAUUGGACAAUGGGCGGGAGCCUGAUCCAGCCAUGCCGCGUGCAGGAAGACUGCCCUAUGGGUUGUAAACUGCUUUUAUACGGGAAGAAACACUCCCUCGUGAGGGAAUUUGACGGUACCGUAAGAAUAAGGAUCGGCUAACUCCGUGCCAGCAGCCGCGGUAAUACGGAGGAUCCAAGCGUUAUCCGGAAUCAUUGGGUUUAAAGGGUCCGUAGGUGGACGAUUAAGUCAGAGGUGAAAUCUUGCAGCUCAACUGUAAAAUUGCCUUUGAUACUGGUUGUCUUGAGUUAUUAUGAAGUGGUUAGAAUAUGUAGUGUAGCGGUGAAAUGCAUAGAUAUUACAUAGAAUACCAAUUGCGAAGGCAGAUCACUAAUAAUAUACUGACACUGAUGGACGAAAGCGUGGGUAGCGAACAGGAUUAGAUACCCUGGUAGUCCACGCCGUAAACGAUGGUUACUAGCUGUUCGGUCGCAAGACUGAGUGGCUAAGCGAAAGUGAUAAGUAACCCACCUGGGGAGUACGUUCGCAAGAAUGAAACUCAAGGAAUUGACGGGGGCCCGCACAAGCGGUGGAGCAUGUGGUUUUAUUUCGAUGAUACGCGAGGAA
RNAcentral lists this ribosomal RNA (911 nucleotides) under Formosa sp. RNAcentral describes it as "bacterial SSU rRNA". It matches the Rfam family "Bacterial small subunit ribosomal RNA", at positions 56 to 968 of the family's 1533-position model. Lineage: Bacteria; Pseudomonadati; Bacteroidota; Flavobacteriia; Flavobacteriales; Flavobacteriaceae. The record is from RNAcentral.